Hydractinia symbiolongicarpus is the source of this 1682-nucleotide RNA transcript. RefSeq lists it as uncharacterized. The transcript is spliced from 3 exons. The record is from RefSeq and is a predicted model, not a curated record. Lineage: Eukaryota; Metazoa; Cnidaria; Hydrozoa; Anthoathecata; Hydractiniidae.
ACUUCAUGUUCUCCUUCCUCUUGUUCUGCUUCUGCUAUUUUACCUUCGGGAUCUUCACCUAAAUAAAAUAAAUUGAGCAAAAUAUUGAAAUACUUUCAACAAAAUAAUAGAAGAAGCACUAUCGCAACGGGAGAAAACAGUAAUCAUAAAUAUAGUCAUACCUUAUAUUUCUAUAUCAAUUUCGUCCAGCUCUUCAUCUGCAUAGAAUUCUUGAAAGUCAAGUUUACCACUAUCAUCAUCAUCUACAAACUGCAAUAUGCUUGCAAUUGCAUCCUCAGCAGAAAUUCUCUGCCUUUUCGGCUCCAUCUUUUUUACUUAUAUGAAACUUUGUACUAAGAAAUAUAAAAAAUGUCAUUCUAACUGUUCAUAUCAGAAUACAUGUCAUCAUCAAUAGGAAUAAUAUAAUGAUUCAUUAGUUACUUCAUUUACUGCUAAAUGUGAUUUUAUGAAGUGUAUAUUCAUGUAAGACCUAUAUUAAAGAUAAUUAACUCCUAUAUAUACGGAGGUGUGGCACUCGAGGCCCAAAAUAUGCUGAUAUCAGCAGCAAAAAUUUGAAAAUCAUAAGGCAAAACCACAUUUUUUUUAAAAUUACCCAGGGCUGAGUGUAGUUUUGAUAGCUUUGGCCAGCACUGAAGCGUGCGAUAGCUCAUGUCAAACUGCUAGGGUUUCAACAUGGCUAGCUCCUCAAAAGCACCAAAGAUUGUUAGGGGAAGCAAGUAUAGAGUUUACCUUGGAACUGGAGAGAAGGCAAAGGAGUUCUACGAGAACUUAAUACGUCUAAAAGAAAAGUUUUUAUACAACCAAGAUUUCUUCACUUGGGUUCAUGAAGUUUUGAGGGCACACCACAAUAAAGAUUCCAGAAACAGUAUUAUGUUACUAAACUCUUCAAAGAGAAUGGUGCAUACUCCAUGCAGUGAAGUUGUAGUACUAAAAAAGAAAAGACAGUCAUCAAGUAGCUCGUCUAAAGAUUCAUCGACUUCUUUUACUUCACCUCUCUCAUGCUUACUUUCGCCAACAUAUGAUAGCAGCAGUAACACAAAGUCUUCAAUAACUGGUCCUAAUGAUACACCACGUGUUGUUAUUGUUAGCUCAAAAAAGGCUAAAACUGAAAUGGAGAUUGAAAAAAAGAUUCAAAUUUCCCAUCGAUGGAAAUAUUAAAGUAUAUAAAGCAAAUUUGUAAAUUAUAUACAAGAGUAGCUGGCUGAUUUGUUUCUGGAAAGCAUGAUAUAUAUAUAUAUAGCUAUAUGUGAUUUCAAAGCUUUACUGUUUGCAGGUGCAAGUCUUUUGCCAAUGUUUUGUGUUAGCCUACUGUCCAAAGCGCAUUGGGUACAAAAAUGAUAUCAAUUAGCAUAUUUGGACUUUAACGGUCAUUUAAAUUGAGGACAGCUUCAAAAAAAAAAUGGUUCACUUGUUUAUGUCCGCAGAUAUGGAAAGAGGACAAAGCAAUGGUUUUUAGUAGCAGUACCUAAACCAAAGGACUAUAUCUAUAUACGAAGACUCAUGGCAGAAAUACUAUGGAGACGUCAUGUUGACAAGGGAAAUGUUAAUCGCGUAGGGAUUGGACGAGAAUGUACUAAAGCAUUACGUCAAAAUAUUGCUGCAACAGCUGCUCCUCCCAUGGAAUUAUUACUUGAAAAACAUCAAGCAAGAGAAGAAAUGAAACUCCAAUAACUCUUAUCUGU